UUUUUCUUUUUCCUCCCCUUUGAACUGGAAAAUGGCCCACUUCCCACUGGCGAAAACUCAUGAAAUUUGGCAGGACGACCGGGCCUGGUGAAAAAUUUGAUAUUCGGAAGUCGCCCAAACAAGAAAAUGCAAAAUGGCUCCAUAGCGCCCCCUAAGGUGAAAAUUCACAUGACGCCUGUACGCUUUGUCAAAAUGACACAAAAAUUGACACACACAUGUAUCUCAAUAAGAUCUACAAAAAAGUCAGUGCGGGCGUAUCUGUCAAAUGUACGGUUAAUGGGUUAUUUUGCAUUUUUUGCCGAUCCGCACACAUUGGAAUUUCGCUAACUCUUCCGAAGGCUUUCGUUCCACCGGCACCACAUUUGCUCAGGCCAAUCUACACCCCAUGGCCAUUAAAAGUUAUUCAAAUCAUGACGCUGCACCCCACGGUUUAGGUUCUAGGGGGCGCCAAAGAUAACACUAAAAUCCACAUAUUUAAAAGUCUUAUAACUUUUUAUUUUUGUCCUCACUGGCCUCCAAGUUUUCUAGGAUGAUGCAAUGUCCAGCCAUCAACACAUUUGUGAAGGAAUUUUUACUCCCCAAAAGAGCGCCCCCCCAUGGCAGGAGAAAAAAGUCCAUUUUUUCUUGUCCCCUAAGGUGAAAAUACACAUUGUUGAGUGUCACGCCUAUACGCUUUGUCAUAUUGACACAAAAUUUGACAAUCACGUGUAUCUCAAUAAGAUCUACGAAAAAGUCAAUGCGCGCGUAUCUGUCAAAUGUACGGUUAAAGGGUUAUUCCGCAUUUUUUGCCGAUCCGCACACAUUGGAAUUUCGCUAACUCCUCCGAAGGCUUUCUGUCCACCGGCACCACAUUUGCUCAGGCCAAUCUACACUCCAUGGCCAUUAAAAGUUAUUCAAAUCAUGACGCUGCACCCCACGGUUUAGGUUCUAGGGGGCGCCAAAGACAACCCUAAAAUCCACAUAUUUAAAAGUCUUAUAACUUUUUAUUUUUGUCCUCACUGGCCUCCAAGUUUUCUAGGAUGAUGCAAUGUCCAGCCAUCAACACAUUUGUGAAGGAAUUUUUACUCCCCAAAAGAGCGCCCCCCCAUGGCAGGAGAAAAAAGUCCAUUUUUUCUUGUCCCCUAAGGUGAAAAUACAUAUUGUUGAGAUUCACGCCUAUACGCUUUGUCAUAUUGACACAAAAUUUGACAAUCACGUGCCUUGCCUGGUAUCAUUUUUUUCAGCACAACCUCACCUGUGCGAAUUUACAGUUAUUUUAUCAUGUUGACAUACUGAAUUUACACAAUGGACCCAAAUUCACACACAAAACAUAAAAUCCGAGUGGAAAAAAGUAACAUUUUUACUGUGAAAACCACAAAUAGGUGUGAUGAACUGUUUUUAAAACUUAAACUUCAAAUAAAAAUUGUAAACUUCAAAACAUAUGCAAAUUUUUAACAAAGAACAUAGUGAUUUACCUCUAUUUACAUCAAAAUGCAGGCAAUGGCCCAGGCGUUCUUUUUAAAAUUAUUUACAAAACACUGUAUAGUCUCACAAAUGUCACUUUUUAUUUAUGCCACUACAAAAAAACAUGAUGUAAAUGAUGCAUGAUGUAAAACAUGAUGUAAAAAACUUGUGUAGAUCCUCCUCUAUGUCAGUCCAUGUGUAAUUUUUCCAUAAUUCUUUGUUUUUUGCAGCAUUUUUGUUAGUGUAACUGCAGAUUGUGCUGACAGUGUCUAUGGCAAAAAAAAGGAAAAAAUUAAAAUUCCUCAACAUGAACCCCUGGUGGUCUCUGAGGGUGAAACCUGCUAACUGCUGCAGCUCUGUCAGCUUCAGUCUCCCAUGCAGAGCUCUGAGCGCAUGUGUGGCUCUGCACCCUUAGCAGCGUUGCUAACUCCUCAGUAAGGAAAGCCUGCUUCAUGUCAGAGUCUCUAAACUCCAGAAGAAGUCGAUAAAAGUCCCUUUCUUUCUAAAAAAAAGUCGUUAGGGGGUCUGAAAAGUCAUUGAAUCUAACAACAAAGUCGCUAGGUUUGCAACUACGUGUCCCAGACUGCAUCCCUGCUGAGAGUCCCUCCCUCCCUUCUCAUGUUGCAGGAAGAAUGUAAGCGCCCGCCCCUUGUCAUUCAGUCACCAUAUAAUUUUGGAUUGGUUGUUGUGGUGAAGUUUUCCACCAAUAGGAGAGAUGUUGUGGUGUGUUUUUUUUUUCUUUUGGCAAGCCUUUUCCGCCUGUAAGACCUGUCGCUAAUGUCUGCAUGCUAUGUUUUCCUGUCUCAUACAGCGCGAUCGAGCGCCGAACGUGAUCAAAAUAAGCAGAAAAAAAGUAUCGCGGACAUAAUUUAUCAUAACUCUGGUUUUAUUUGGCCUAUCAACACAAUUUAAAAACUGGUAUAUAGGUUGAGGUCCUCACUUUUGAGAUAAGUUGAAACGGAGAGUCAACAAGGCUCCGUCUUGCAGCUACAUCCGGUUAAAUAUGUCAUGUGACUUGAACGCACACACACACACGCACACACACACACACACACACACACACACACACACACACACACACACACACACACACACACACACUCAGAGUCUGGUUUUUAGCACCUGCAAAAACAUGCUAUUUACAUAUUUGACAAGAAUGCAGAGGCUCCUUUUGCCCCUGAAAAAAAUCAAAUUUCAAACACAACUUGACUGGUCAUUUCUCCAAAAGACAACCAUGAAGCUCCAUCCAAACCUGAAGCAGGCAGUUGGUGCAUGUGUACAGUAACCUGAGGGGAGUGAGGUGAGUGCUUCUGAGGAGAACAUGAGCAGUGAAGAUUCACCUUGGAGCUAGAACAGAGACAUGCACAUGAUUAUACAGGGGCAGGGGCUCAAGUUUUUUCCAGUCGUUUAUACAAUAUGGAAAUUAAUGUGAAAUUAAAACACAAAGUAUUAAUAGAAAGGUAAUGACUGUCCUGUGUAGGUGACAGUGAUAUCCAAUAGGCUAGGCACUCACGAGGCUGGCUGUGGCAAGUGUAAGUGAAAGCAACACGCACUGGCAGGAAGAACAGCAAACGCCGAUGAAGGAAAAGGGUCUUUGCAGUGAUGGGCGUUACCAGAGAGGGCGAUGGCCAGAGGACACAAAUGGGACGGGGAGGCAGCACGUUGGGGGGGGGACGCGACACGGCUCGGGCCCGCCAGUGCCCCAACGGGGUCCUAGUUAGGGCCCGAGCCAGCUGCAGAGCAGCCGGGCGUAGGCCCUAUUAUUCCCCAAGUGGUUUUUCUUUGUUUCUUUCUUUCUUUUUCUUUUUCCUCCCCUUUGAACUGGAAAAUGGCCCACUUCCCACUGGCGAAAACUCAUGAAAUUUGGCAGGACGACCGGGCCUGGUGAAAAAUUUGAUAUUCUGAAGUCGCCCAAACAAUAAAAUGCAAAAUGGCUCCAUAGCGCCCCCUAAGGUGAAAAUUCACACUAUUGACUGUCACGCCUGUACGCUUUGUCAUAUUGACACAAAAAUUGACACACAUAUGUAUCUCAAUAAGAUCUACAAAAAAGUCAGUGCGGCCGUAUCUGUCAAAAUUACGGUUAAAGGGUUAUUUCGCAUUUCUUGCCGAUCCGCACACAUUGGAAUUUCGCUAACUCCUCCGAAGGCUUUCGUUCCACCGGCACCACAUUUGCUCAGGCCAAUCUACACCCCGUGGCCAUUAAAAGUUAUCAAAAUCAUGACGCUGCACCCCAAGGUUUAGGUUCUAGGGGGCGCCAAAGAUAACACUAAAAUCCACAUAUUUAAAAGUCUUAUAACUUUUUAAUUUUGUCCUCACUGGCCUCCAAGUUUUCUAGGAUGAUGCAAUGUCCAGCCAUCAACACAUUUGUGAAGGAAUUUUUACUCCCCAAAAGAGCGCCCCCCCAUGGCAGGAGAAAAAAGUCCAUUUUUUCUUGUCCCCUAAGGUGAAAAUACACAUUGUUGAGUGUCACGCCUAUACGCUUUGUCAAAAUGACACAAAAUUUGACAAUCACGUGUAUCUCAAUAAGAUCUACGAAAAAGUCAAUGCGCGCGUAUCUGUCAAAUGUACGGUUAAAGGGUUAUUCCGCAUUUUUUGCCGAUCCGCACACAUUGGAAUUUCGCUAACUCCUCCGAAGGCUUUCUGUCCACCGGCACCACAUUUGCUCAGGCCAAUCUACACCCCAUGGCCAUUAAAAGUUAUUCAAAUCAUGACGCUGCACCCCACGGUUUAGGUUCUAGGGGGCGCCAAAGACAACCCUAAAAUCCACAUAUUUAAAAGUCUUAUAACUUUUUAUUUUUGUCCUCACUGGCCUCCAAGUUUUCUAGGAUGAUGCAAUGUCCAGCCAUCAACACAUUUGUGAAGGAAUUUUUACUCCCCAAAAGAGCGCCUCCCCAUGGCAGGAGAAAAAAGUCCAUUUUUUCUUGUCCCCUAAGGUGAAAAUACAUAUUGUUGAGAUUCACGCCUAUACGCUUUGUCAUAUUGACACAAAAUUUGACAAUCACGUGCCUUGCCUGGUAUCAUUUUUUUCAGCACAACCUCACCUGUGCGAAUUUACAGUUAUUUUAUCAUGUUGACAUACUGAAUUUACACAAUGGACCCAAAUUCACACACAAAACAUAAAAUCCGAGUGGAAAAAAGUAACAUUUUUACUGUGAAAACCACAAAUAGGUGUGAUGAACUGUUUUUAAAACUUAAACUUCAAAUAAAAAUUGUAAACUUCAAAACAUAUGCAAAUUUUUAACAAAGAACAUAGUGAUUUACCUCUAUUUACAUCAAAAUGCAGGCAAUGGCCCAGGCGUUCUUUGUAAAAUUAUUUACAAAACACUGUAUAGUCUCACAAAUGUCACUUUUUAUUUAUGCCACUACAAAAAAACAUGAUGUAAAUGAUGCAUGAUGUAAAACAUGAUGUAAAAAACUUGUGUAGAUCCUCCUCUAUGUCAGUCCAUGUGUAAUUUUUCCAUAAUUCUUUGUUUUUUGCAGCAUUUUUGUUAGUGUAACUGCAGAUUGUGCUGACAGUGUCUAUGGCACAAAAAAGAAAAAAAUUAAAAUUCCUCAACAUGAACCCCUGGUGGUCUCUGAGGGUGAAACCUGCUAACUGCUGCAGCUCUGUCAGCUUCAGUCUCCCAUGCAGAGCUCUGAGCGCAUGUGUGGCUCUGCACCCUUAGCAGCGUUGCUAACUCCUCAGUAAGGAAAGCCUGCUUCAUGUCAGAGUCUCUAAACUCCAGAAGAAGUCGAUAAAAGUCCCUUUCUUUCUAAAAAAAAGUCGUUAGGGGGUCUGAAAAGUCAUUGAAUCUAACAACAAAGUCGCUAGGUUUGCAACUACGUGUCCCAGACUGCAUCCCUGCUGAGAGUCCCUCCCUCCCUUCUCAUGUUGCAGGAAUAACGUAAGCGCCCGCCCCUUGUCAUUCAGUCACCAUAUAAUUUUGGAUUGGUUGUUGUGGUGAAGUUUUCCACCAAUAGGAGAGAUGUUGUGGUGUGUUUUUUUUUUCUUUUGGCAAGCCUUUUCCGCCUGUAAGACCUGUCGCUAAUGUCUGCAUGCUAUGUUUUCCUGUCUCAUACAGCGCGAUCGAGUGCCGAACGUGAUCAAAAUAAGCAGAAAAAAAGUAUCGCGGACAUAAUUUAUCAUAACUUUGGUUUUAUUUGGCCUAUCAACACAAUUUAAAAACUGGUAUAUAGGUUGAGGUCCUCACUUUUGAGAUAAGUUGAAACGGAGAGUCAACGAGGCUCCGUCUUGCAGCUACAUCCGGUUAAAUAUGUCAUGUGACUUGAACGCACACACAGACACAGACACACACACACACACACACACACACACACACACACACACACACACACACACACACACACACACACACACACACACACACACACACUCAGAGUCUGGUUUUUAGCACCUGCAAAAACAUGCUAUUUACAUAUUUGACAAGAAUGCAGAGGCUCCUUUUGCCCCUGAAAAAAAUCAAAUUUCAAACACAACUUGACUGGUCAUUUCUCCAAAAGACAACCAUGAAGCUCCAUCCAAACCUGAAGCAGGCAGUUGGUGCAUGUGUACAAUAACCUGAGGGGAGUGAGGUGAGUGCUUCUGAGGAGAACAUGAGCAGUGAAGAUUCACCUUGGUGCUAGAACAGAGACAUGCACAUGAUUAUACAGGGGCAGGGGCUCAAGUUUUUUCCAGUCGUUUAUACAAUAUGGAAAUUAAUGUGAAAUUAAAACACAAAGUAUUAAUAGAAAGGUAAUGACUGUCCUGUGUAGGUGACAGUGAUAUCCAAUAGGCUAGGCACUCACGAGGCUGGCUGUGGCAAGUGUAAGUGAAAGCAACACGCACUGGCAGGAAGAACAGCAAACGCCGAUGAAGGAAAAGGGUCUUUGCAGUGAUGGGCGUUACCAGAGAGGGCGAUGGCCAGAGGACACAAAUGGGACGGGGAGGCAGCACGUUGGGGGGGGGGGGGGGGGGGGGCGACACGGCUCGGGCCCGCCAGUGCCCCAACGGGGUCCUAGUUAUUAUUUUUCCUCCCCUUUGAACUGGAAAAUGGCCCACUUCCCACUGGCGAACACUCAUGAAAUUUGGCAGGACGACCGGGCCUGGUGAAAAAUUUGAUAUUCCGAAGUCGCCCAAACAAGAAAAUGCAAAAUGGCUCCAUAGCGCCCCCUAAGGUGAAAAUUCACACUAUUGACUGUCACGCCUGUACGCUUUGUCAAAAUGACACAAAAAUUGACACACAC
Molecule: long non-coding RNA, 6666 nt
Filed under: Xyrichtys novacula (pearly razorfish)
Lineage: Eukaryota; Metazoa; Chordata; Actinopteri; Labriformes; Labridae
Source: RNAcentral